Molecule: unclassified non-coding RNA, 177 nt
Filed under: uncultured Coniochaeta
Lineage: Eukaryota; Fungi; Ascomycota; Sordariomycetes; Coniochaetales
Description: sequence contains ITS1
Source: RNAcentral
CAAGAAGCCGAGAGGCUACUUCAAACCAUCGCGAACUCGUCCUAGUUGCUUCGGCGGUGCGGCCUCCCCCCGGGGGGCCGCGGCGCCGCGCCUCCCCCGGAGGUGCGGGGCGCCCGCCGGAGGUCACAAACUCUCGUGUAUUAUAGUGGCAUCUCUGAGUAAGACACAGACAAGUCA